UCCGAGUUGACCCCGGCAGUCUCCCGUGAGUCCCCAACCCGCCAAAGACGGUUGCUGGCAACACAGGACAAGGGUUGCGCUCGUUGCGGGACUUAACCCAACAUCUCACGACACGAGCUGACGACAGCCAUGCACCACCUGUCACGGGCCCUUACGGACACUGUGUUUCCACAGUUUUUCCCGUGAUGUCAAACCCAGGUAAGGUUCUUCGGGUUGCAUCGAAUUAAGCCGCAUGCUCCGCCGCUUGUGCGGGACCCCGUCAAUUCCUUUGAGUUUUAGCCUUGCGGCCGUACUCCCCAGGCGGGGCACUUAAUGCGUUAGCUACGGCACGGACGACGUGGAAUGCCGCCCACACCUAGUGCCCACCGUUUACGGCGUAGACUAC
Molecule: unclassified non-coding RNA, 385 nt
Filed under: uncultured Actinomycetes bacterium
Lineage: Bacteria; Bacillati; Actinomycetota; Actinomycetes
Description: uncultured actinobacterium contains 16S-23S intergenic spacer region
Source: RNAcentral